GGAUUACUGACGUGAGCCACUGUGCCUGGCCCAGAAAUGAUUAGGGUACCAGAGGCCCAGGCAGUACUUUUGGGGUAGACGAGGUACAGACCUUUGGCUCCUCACUGUCUUCAAGCCCACAAGAAGCAUAGAGCAGAAGAAGACAGAGGAGGGCCCAUCUGGCCCACUACCUGUUCUUGUAAAUAAAGCUUUAUUGAAGCCAGGUGCUCACCUUCUAGCACAUUCUUCAAGAGUUACUCUGAGGCAAGCCAGCCGCCAUGUCAUGAGGACACUCAAGCAGCACCAUGGAGAGGUCCGAUGGCGAGGAACAGAGGAUCCCCCUGCCGACAGCCAAUGAGGAACAGGCCUCCUGCCAACAGCCGUGUAAGGGGUCACCUUGGAAGCCAAUGGCCCCUCCCUGGUCAGGCUUUUACAUGACUGCAGUCCUGGCCAACAUCCUGACGGCAACCUCAUGAGAGACCUUGAGCCAGAGCCACCCACCUAAGCUGCUUAUAGGUUCCUGGCCCUCAGAAAUCACAUGAGAUCAUAAAUGUUUGCUCAAUUUGAGAUAUUUGUGAUGUAGCAAUAAAUAACAAACACACUUA
Molecule: long non-coding RNA, 584 nt
Filed under: Homo sapiens (human)
Lineage: Eukaryota; Metazoa; Chordata; Mammalia; Primates; Hominidae
Description: HSALNT0390279
Source: RNAcentral